GCGUCUCCAGCUCCCAGUCCGCCCUUACAGCACCAACUUGAUUGUCCCAGGCCGUCCACGUCUUCAGCGCAUCCCCACCACACCUCACAGCCAUCCAGCCAAUUUCCCAAUCCUCCACGCCAUCAACGCAAUCGAAGCAACGUUUCUUCUCCCAACAGCCAUCCGUUUCUUCUCCCAGCAGCCAUCUGUUUCUUCUCUUCCGAGUUCCAGCUCCUUCUCGUGAAGCCAGCAAAUCCCAUAUGCAGCGUCCCAGCCGAUUCAAGGAGCCGCUUCAGCCGCCUGUGAUUCUCCCCCAAAUCCCAACAUCCCAGCCUCUUCUCCCAUCCGUAUUCAUCAUCCACGGAUCCGCUCCUCCCAGCACCGAUUUCGGUCGCCCGUUUCAAAGAUCCACAGCUUCAUCCCGUGCGGAAACAAGGGGGAAGAAAGGAUCACACGCUCGUUUCUAAUCCGGCGUCCACAAAGCUUCCGG
RNAcentral lists this long non-coding RNA (469 nucleotides) under Phoenix dactylifera (date palm). Its description in RNAcentral is "long non-coding RNA (PDAC_LNC001695)". The record is from RNAcentral. Lineage: Eukaryota; Viridiplantae; Streptophyta; Magnoliopsida; Arecales; Arecaceae.